Myodes glareolus (Bank vole) is the source of this 83-nucleotide small nucleolar RNA. RefSeq annotates it as small nucleolar RNA SNORD24. The record is from RefSeq and is a predicted model, not a curated record. Lineage: Eukaryota; Metazoa; Chordata; Mammalia; Rodentia; Cricetidae.
UGCCACAAUGAUGACAUCAUAUUUGCUACUCUUGACAGUUGGAUGACGAUAGCCUUAAACCACCGAAAUUUGUAACUGAGGCA